GUACACGCUGUGACUAGCAUAUCAAUAAGCGGAGGAAAAGAAACUAACAAGGAUUCCCCUAGUAACGGCGAGUGGAGCGGGAAGAGCUCAAAUUUGAAAUCUUAAAGGGUUUCCCUUUACGAAUUGUAGUUUAAAGAAGUGUUUUCUGUUGAGGUUUUGGUAAAAGUUCUUUGGAAUAGGACAUCAUAGAGGGUGAGAAUCCCGUAUUUGACCUUUACUUUCAACUAUGUGAUACACUUUCAAAGAGUCGGAUUGUUUGGGAAUGCAGUCCAAAAUGGGUGGUAAAUUUCAUCUAAAGCUAAAUAUUGGCGAGAGACCGAUAGCGAACAAGUACCGUGAGGGAAAGAUGAAAAGAACUUUGAAAAGAGAGUUAAACAGUACGUGAAAUUGUCAAAAGGGAAGCGUUUGACACCAGUGUUGUUUUUCUGAAAAUCAAUUAAAGAACUGUUUAUGCUAAGCUGUUUAGACUUUAUCAGCUAACUGUUUAGUUUUGAGCUUUUCUUUAAUGCACUUUUCAGUUAACAAGUCAACAUCAAUUUCUUUUGCUGUAAAAAAGCUUGAGGAAGGUGGCUUGAGAUUCGUCUUAAGUGUUUAUAGCCUCUUGCCUAUGCAGUCGGAGAGAUUGAGGUCUGCAGCGUAGAUCCUUCGGGGCUAAAUGCAUUUGUGCUAAGUUAUAGCAUUUUAUAGACAACUUGUUGACUAUGAUUUGUCUUGUAGCUUACUCGCUUAUGUUAUUUUACCUACGCUUAGGAUGUUGAGUCGUAGAGCACGCAG
This 774-nucleotide ribosomal RNA is filed under the name uncultured Neocallimastigales. RNAcentral describes it as "partial large subunit ribosomal RNA". It matches the Rfam family "Eukaryotic large subunit ribosomal RNA", at positions 22 to 628 of the family's 3401-position model. The record is from RNAcentral. Lineage: Eukaryota; Fungi; Neocallimastigomycota; Neocallimastigomycetes; Neocallimastigales.